UCGUAUUUUCGCUUGUGCGCCCGGUCAACUAAAAGCAGUAAGAGGAGCCAGGGGAACCCUUAUUUUCUUUUAGUACUGUGAAAGACUCUUCACUGUUCCAGUGAAGUGCGGCGACGGGACGGUGCAGACGAUUAACCGUAAUGAACCUAUGGUGAAACGAUCACUUUAGGUUGUCGGCUCCGAUGAAGUGUCUCGUGCGCGGUUGCACCCGCACGCACCGGGAUGCGGGUGUUUCCUUUCACCGUCUACCUGGCAAGGAUCCAGUGCGAAGUCGCUGGCUGGAAGCCCUUCGACUGCGCGCUACCUCGAAGAUACUGCAUCAGCUUGAUCGUGUGUGUUCCGAGCACUUCUCCGCGCAGUCCUUCACGUCGUGGAAGGUUUCGAAGAAUCUGGGGUUCGAGAGAAAGAAGAAACGCCUCGACGAGGGCUCAGUUCCGACCCUUCAACUGGAUCUCACACCAGCACCAGCGUGCAAAAGGCGCAGACUGGAUGAUUCAGAGACGCCAUCUGAGUGUGGGAAGCACAAUGAAGCAGACAACCUCUGCGAAGACCCUAUUGUGGUGUCAAAAGAGGACAUGGCAGCCAGUAUAAUCGAGGUUGUGCCUGCUGAACAGAAAGCACCUGAAACUCAAGACUGUUGUGAACUUCAGCUCGCAACUGAAGAUCAUGGGUAUUCCAUCAGAAGUGCCACGUCUGCCGACCACACCUACAGCAUUGAAGUUCAGUACGAAAACAAAGGCACACAGGUGAACUUGUCCGCCAAGCAGUCGAAGGAGACGCAGACAGACCCAUGGGAGUCUCCAGCUGUUCUUCCAUGUACAAGUGCUGCUCCAGCCAUCAUGAAGGAUCCUGCUCCAGUUGCUAUGAAGCAAGUGCCUGUGCCAGCAGCAGUUGAGAUGCCAGCAUGCGAGGACUUCGCCACAGAGCAGGUUGCCCCAUCGUACCGGCCGACAAGCCAGCCAUUUCUGGAGGCCGACCUCUCUUUCGAAAGACCAGGCAUGUGCUCAAGCCCUAUUCCAGAAGAGCCUGCAGACACUACGUACGAGGCUUCUUGGGACGAGAGCUUCUUGAGCAACUCAACCUCAACGGCCCCCCUGCACGAGGAGCCCAAGUACAUUGUAUUUGAGAGCUGUUUAUUGCAGUUGCUCCGCCCAUGCGUAAUGUGCCAAGCGCCAUGUAAAGUUACUAUUGUACCAGACGGCACACUAGUGAGGGCCACGGCUGUGUGCCAAAGCGAACACAGCAGGACUUGGCUCAGCCAGCCUCUCAUCAACAACGUGCCAGCCUGCAACCUGCUCCUCUCCGGUGCCAUGCUGUUCACCGGCUCCUGCUCUGCAAAGGUGCUCAGGCUGCUAAGGCUCAUCAAUAUUCAAGCCUUCUCGGAAAGCACGUACUUCAAUCACCAGGCAGCAUUCCUGCAGCCUUCAAUUGAACGAGUGUGGAACCGAGAGCAGCAGAGCCUUCUCCAGGCAAGGCAGGGGAAGACGGUGCGUUUGGCUGGGGACGGGAGGUACGACUCUCCAGGGUACUCGGCCAAAUUCAUGACAUACACUUUCAUGGAGAUGGAGACAAACAAGAUCCUCCACUAUGUCCAAGUGCAGCUUGGAGAGUCCCCCGAGGUGAAGUCCAGCAACGCAAUGGAGCUGCAUGGCUGUGCCAAGGGGCUCACUUUUUUCAAGGAGGAGAAUGUCACGGUCGAGGCCCUCGUCACGGACCGUCACCUAGGGAUCAAGGGCCACAUGAGGAGCAAAGAACCCCAGACACGCCAUUACUUCGAUGCUUGGCACAUUGCAAAAGGCAUAAGCAAAAAGAUGCUGAAGGCCAGCAAGUACGCCCGGUGUGAAGUGUUGGCAUACUGGGCACAGCCUGCCUCCAACCAUCUGUACUGGUGUGCUGCCAACUGCGAAGAGGAUGGAAAACUCCUCGUCGAGAUGUGGAAGAGCAUAAACAACCAUGCUCUCGACAAGCACACUGGCCAUGGAGGGGUGUACGACCGCUGUGUUCACGACACCCUCGUUGGGGACAGAGAGUGGCUCUCUCUAGAACCAGAUUGGCUGCUCUGCACCACAACGAAAACUCCGGAAGGGUCCAAGCGGUGACGCGCAAAGGGCAGCCAAAAUUCAAGCGAAGGAUGCAGAGAGGGAAGAUGGGGACCGAUCGUCUCAAGGAAGUAAAAACCCCUCCAACCUACGCGUACGUGGGCCAGCUGCUGUCUGAGGCUGCUGCCUGCUGCAACGAGUCUUCCCUCAGGGAAGCCUUGGGCAACAGACCCCGGGAUCGGGCCCCCCUCCCCAUGGCAGCUCACUACCC
Molecule: unclassified non-coding RNA, 2310 nt
Filed under: Ixodes scapularis (black-legged tick)
Lineage: Eukaryota; Metazoa; Arthropoda; Arachnida; Ixodida; Ixodidae
Description: uncharacterized LOC115310679, transcript variant X2
Source: RNAcentral